This 603-nucleotide ribosomal RNA is filed under the name Lodderomyces metapsilosis. Its description in RNAcentral is "LSU rRNA". It matches the Rfam family "Eukaryotic large subunit ribosomal RNA", at positions 37 to 656 of the family's 3401-position model. The record is from RNAcentral. Lineage: Eukaryota; Fungi; Ascomycota; Pichiomycetes; Serinales; Debaryomycetaceae.
UGCAUAUCCAAUAGCGGAGGAAAAGAAACCAACAGGGAUUGCCUUAGUAGCGGCGAGUGAAGCGGCAAAAGCUCAAAUUUGAAAUCUGGCACUUUCAGUGUCCGAGUUGUAAUUUGAAGAAGGUAUCUUUGGGUCUGGCUCUUGUCUAUGUUUCUUGGAACAGAACGUCACAGAGGGUGAGAAUCCCGUGCGAUGAGAUGACCCAGACCUAUGUAAAGUUCCUUCGAAGAGUCGAGUUGUUUGGGAAUGCAGCUCUAAGUGGGUGGUAAAUUCCAUCUAAAGCUAAAUAUUGGCGAGAGACCGAUAGCGAACAAGUACAGUGAUGGAAAGAUGAAAAGAACUUUGAAAAGAGAGUGAAAAAGUACGUGAAAUUGUUGAAAGGGAAGGGCUUGAGAUCAGACUUGGUAUUUUGUAUGUUACUCUUUCGGGGGUGGCCUCUACAGUUUACCGGGCCAGCAUCAGUUUGGGCGGUAGGAGAAUUGCAAAGAAAUGUGGCACUGCUUCGGUAGUGUGUUAUAGUCUUUGUCGAUACUGCCAGCCUAGACUGAGGACUGCGGCUUCGGCCUAGGAUGUUGGCAUAAUGAUCUUAAGUCGCCCGUCUUG